RNAcentral lists this long non-coding RNA (228 nucleotides) under Gossypium barbadense (sea-island cotton). RNAcentral describes it as "long non-coding RNA (GBAR_LNC008089)". Lineage: Eukaryota; Viridiplantae; Streptophyta; Magnoliopsida; Malvales; Malvaceae. The record is from RNAcentral.
GGGAAGUCCUCGUGUUGCGCCCAUCCAAUUUUAUAUCUCAUUAAAUUUUUUUCUAUUUUUUUUAUAUCUCAUCGUUUAACUAAUUAGUUAUUUACGGAAUAAAUCACUCGAAACGUUAUUUGGUCGUAUUUAAAUUCAAAUUCGAGGCUCAAGCGCGAUCAGGGGUAGCCUUUAUAUAAAUAGAAUGCGCAAGAAUUGACGGGUGCGAUCAUUCCAGCACUAAUGCAC